RNAcentral lists this long non-coding RNA (349 nucleotides) under Cavia porcellus (domestic guinea pig). RNAcentral describes it as "lncRNA (ENSCPOG00000034569.1)". The record is from RNAcentral. Lineage: Eukaryota; Metazoa; Chordata; Mammalia; Rodentia; Caviidae.
GGGUGGCACAAAAGCCACCAUGGCAGCCUGAAUGCACAGGACUGAGGAAUGGGAAAGACCAGGUGUAAUGAUAUUCACAGGAGAGAAAACGACUUAAACAGAGCAGAUUUGUUGCCUCCAGAGUGCUGGGAUUACAAGCAUAUACCUUUAUGCCCGGAAGUUCUUGGGUAUGAUGAAGCACAAUUUUUAAGCCAAGUAAAUGACUUUUAAGAAAGGUGUGUCUCCAAAGGAAGGUCAUGGUGAUGUGGCAAAAGGCAAGAGAAAAUGUUUCCUGUAUUCUAAAACACCUUAGAAUAUUACAUCAGGCACUGGUUUUUUAUGAGGUAAGUGAUAUGGUUAGUUCCAUAGG